CAAUGCUUAUCAUUUCAUGUCAGGCAAUAUAUUUUAAGGAUGGUGCAGACUAAAUAUGCUUCCAUCUUUUAAUAUUAAUAACUAAGGGAAUUAUCAUUUAUGCUACGAUGAUAUAAAAGAGGUCCUUAAGCCCCUCCCAAUAAAACCACAAGCACUUGUCUAGUGGCUUUCUAGGAAUAUAUAUAAUUUCAACAUGGAAAUCAUGGCUUCCCUCAAAGCUCACCACCAUCCCAACAUUGAUGUUGUUAGUACUACUCUUCUCCAAUCUUUGUUUUCCUGUAUUCAAUGUGGCAACAGCUUCAAAGAUUGAAUUCCAAGGGAGAGCUCUUCUUCAAUGGAAGGCCACCCUUAAGACACAAGAACUUCUUAACACCUGGACAACAAAGAUCAGUCCAUGCAAUUGGACUGGAAUCACUUGCAGAAAUGAUGGCCAUCUCAUGCCAACCAUCAUUAAGCUCCAACUGAGAGAUUUUUCACUAAAAGGGAAGCUGGAGACUCUCAACUUCACAGCUCUGCUAUCACUCAGAGUUCUCGACCUUAAUGGCAACCGUCUCCAUGGAUUUAUUCCUGCAGCCAUUUCAGUUCUCUCCAAGCUCAUCAUCCUUGAUCUUGCUAACAACGGUCUCACAGGCAUCAUCCCAUUAGAGCUUGGUAAUUUGACAAGGCUCAAGACCUUGUGGCUCGCUACAAAUCAGAUAAGUGGUUCCAUACCUCUUUCUUUUGGAAACUUGUUGAACCUGAAUCGGUUAGCCAUCUCCACAAAUUCAUUGGUUGGUUCCAUUCCUUUAGAGUUUGGAAACUUGACCAAACUCAAUAUUUUAUACUUAUGGAGCAAUAACUUCACUGGCUUCAUCCCUCCUGAGAUUGGAUAUAUGGUGAAUCUUAAGGAAUUUGAUAUCUCUGGCAACAAUAUAACAGGCUCCAUCCCUCCAAACAUAGGAAACUUGACUAAGCUUGAAACUUUUAAGUUAGAUAUUAAUAACAUAAAUGGCUUCAUUCCUUUUGAGAUCGGGAAUCUAGUGAAUUUGAAAAUAUUUGAUAUAUCUUACAAUCAAAUAACUGGUCCCAUCCCAUAUAGCACUAAAAACUUAACCAAGCUUGGAAGGUUUUACCUGCAUGACAAUAACAUAAAUGGCUCCAUUCAUGAGAUUGGGAAUCUAGUGAAUUUAGGAAAUUUUGACGUUUCUAAUAACCAAAUAAUUGAUUCUAUCCCACCUAGCAUUGGAAAUCUAACAAAUCUUGAAUUGCUUUACCUAUAUGGCAAUAACAUUAGUGGCUUCAUUCCUAGUGAGAUUGGGAACCUAAUAAACUUGAUAGUACUCCAAAUAUCUGACAAUCAAUUAAGUGGUCCCAUCCCACAUGGCAUUGGAAACUUGACCAGGCUUAAAAUCUUUACCUUAUAUAACAAUGAGAUAAAUGGCAAGAUUCCUCUUUCUCUUGGAAGUUUGAAAAGUCUUGACCAAUUAAUAUUACUUAACAAUAAUCUUUCUGGCUUAUUACCCAUUGAAAUGGCUAAUCUCACAAACUUAACUUAUCUUCAAUUAUCCAACAACAACCUUUUUGGUAAUCUACCACCAGAUCUAGCCAAAGGAGGUUUACUUCAAGCUCUUGGUUUGAGUGACAAUAAUUUCCAAGGUCCCAUUUCGAUCAGUUUGAAAAAUUCAACAAACUUAGUAAGGGUCCGGCUUGAUAAGAAUCAAUUCACAGGAGAUGUUUCUCAAAGCUUUGGAGUUCAUCCAUAUUUGGUUUAUAUUGAUUUAAGCUUUAACAAAUUGUCUGGCACUUUAUCACCAUUUUGGGGAGCAUGCCUCAACUUGACAAGCUUUAAAAUAUCAAGCAAUAGAAUCAGCGGACAAAUACCACGGGAAAUCGUUCAAUUGCCAAUGUUACAGAUGCUUGACAUCUCUUCCAACAAUUUAGUGGGAAAAAUUCCAAGGGGGUUGGGUAAGUCAUCUUAUAUGUUUCACUUGAACAUAAGCAAUAAUCAACUCAUAGGAGCCAUACCACCAGAAUUUGGGGAUCUAUCUUCAUUAGAAGUUCUAGAUUUGUCAAGCAAUAAUUUGAUUGGAGAAAUACCAAUACGGUUGGAGAAUUGCAUUAAAUUGAGCACACUCAAGUUGAGCAAUAAUCUACUGAAUGGCACCAUCCCUUCACAAUUUGGUAAUUUAAAUUUGCAUGAUGAUCUAGACUUAAGUGACAAUUUAUUCACGGGAGAAAUACCACCACAACUUAGCAAGCUAACGGAGUUGCAAGAGUUGAAUCUAUCACACAAUCAGUUGGUUGGACACAUUCCUUCUUCCUUUCUGUCAAUGAGAAGCUUAACAUUGUUGGAUUUAUCUUAUAAUUCUUUGGAAGGUCCGGUCCCAAAGAACCAUUUCUUUCAAACAGCUCCCAUUAAGUGGUUUACCCACAAUAAGGGCUUAUGUGGUCAAGUGCAAGGUUUGCCACUAUGUGCUCAAUCCCAGUCAACAAGUAGAGAUGAUGCAAAGAAACAACAUAAAGUCAAUAUCUUGAUUAUUGUUUUGGCACUUGGCACUUUAUUUAUCUUAUUUGUAAUAAGUGGAAUAUUCACAGUGCGUUGUUAUAAGAGAAAGAGAUCCAUUAUAAAUGACACAAGGGAAGAAUUUGAUGGCCAUUUCUUCUCUAUUUGGAGAGUCAAUCAAGGAAAGGAAGCAUACAAAGAGAUCAUUAGAGCGACAGAAAAUUUCAGUGAAAAGUAUCAGAUCGGUACCGGAGCAUCUAGCAUAGUAUACAAAGCAUCACUAUCAUCAGGAUUGACACUUGCUAUUAAGAAAAUUCAAGAAGAAGAAGCUCAAGUGAAUGAGCAAGCUUUCCAAAAUGAAAUACAAGCAUUAACUGAAAUUCGGCAUCGGAAUAUUGUGAGGUUUUAUGGUUUCUGCUCUACAAAUAAAUUCAACUUCCUUGCAUAUGAGUAUAUGGAGAGAGGAAGCUUGAGUGCCACUUUGAGAUCUGAAGAGAGGGCAAUGGACCUGGAUUGGAUCAAGAGAGUCAGCAUUAUACAAGACAUUGCUCAAGCUUUAUCAUAUUUGCAUCAUGAUUGUGCUCCACCUAUCAUUCAUCGAGACAUAACGAGCAACAACAUUCUUCUCAAUGAGGAGUACAAGGCUUGUAUUUCAGACUUUGGUAUUUCGAGAUUGUUAAAACCUAGCUCAUCACAUUGGAGUUUACUUGCAGGCACCUAUGGGUACAUGGCACCAGAGCUUGCCUAUGUAAUGAGAGUAACUGAAAAAUGUGAUGUAUAUAGUUUUGGGAUUGUAGCACUUGAAGUGAUACAUGGGACACAUCCUGGUGAUCUCCUAAGCAACUUUUCAUUGUGUAUGUUGGUGAAAGAUACCCUCGAUCCACGCCUUCCACUUCAUAUAGCUGAUCAAGUGAUCACAAACCAAGUGCUUUCAGUGAUUUUAGUAGCAAUGCAGUGCAUUAACAAUGAUCCACAGGCUCGCCCUACAAUGCAACAAGUAUCUCAAAGGUUGUCUUCUCCAAAGUUUUUGCCAGCAAUUGACAACUAUUCUUUUCAAGCACUUACACUUGAUCACCUCAUAAACUUUGUACAAGUGCAUAUUGAUGAUCAAGUGCAUGAAUAAUGGGAACUUAGGUACGAUUAAGUCUCAUUCCGCAGAAUGUCUUGAUUUGGCAAGUAUCAAGUUCCCAUGGAACUACAUCUUCUGAGUUCAGACAAUUACUAAAACUCCAACUACAACGGCUAGAACCCUCUUUCUAUCCACUUGGUCAGCAAGAUCACAAGGGAAUUGAUCAGAGGAAGAAACACACUUCAGUUGAAGUUGGUCAAGAGGUUAAUAAUGCAAGAGUCUUCUCAAUAUGGAACUUUGAUGGAAAAGAAGCAUCCAAAGAAAACAUAAAAUCAAGCAACAGAGAAUUUUAUUGAAAAAUACUGCUAUCUGUGUUGGAUCUAGUGCUACUGUCUACAAAUUGACAUUUGCAGUGAAGAAAAUUCAGAAAACACAAGACCAGGAAAAUGAGCAAAAGCUUUCACAAAUGAAAUUCAAACAUUAACUCAAAUGUAAAUUGUAAGGCUCAUUGGUUUCUGCUCAACUAUUGAGUUCAACUAUAUCAUAUACGUGUAUAUAGAGAUUAGAGAGAGCAAGUGUAGGUGCCACUCUUAGGCCGGAAGGAGGUUUUGAGUUAAAUUGGAUGUAGAAAGUGAACCUUGUCAGAGACAUUGAUUAAGCUUUAUCCUACUUGCAUCAUAAUAGUUCUCCACCCAUUUUUCACGGAGGCAUCACAAGCAAUGACAUUCAGAUUCUGCCAUUUCUAAAUGACUAUAACCUGAUUAAUCUCAUUGGAGAAUGCUGGCAGGUGCACUUGGAUACAUGGCGCCAGUAAUAUCCAUGGCCAUUCUUCAUUAA
Dioscorea cayenensis subsp. rotundata (Guinea yam) is the source of this 4388-nucleotide RNA transcript. It is a transcript of the gene named MDIS1-interacting receptor like kinase 2-like, with no coding region annotated. The record is from RefSeq and is a predicted model, not a curated record. The transcript has 4 exons. Lineage: Eukaryota; Viridiplantae; Streptophyta; Magnoliopsida; Dioscoreales; Dioscoreaceae.